This 327-nucleotide signal recognition particle RNA is filed under the name Pongo abelii (Sumatran orangutan). Its description in RNAcentral is "Metazoan signal recognition particle RNA (ENSPPYG00000033033.1)". It matches the Rfam family "Metazoan signal recognition particle RNA". Rfam says of the family: The signal recognition particle (SRP) is a universally conserved ribonucleoprotein. Lineage: Eukaryota; Metazoa; Chordata; Mammalia; Primates; Hominidae. The record is from RNAcentral.
GCUGGGUGCAGUGGCUCACGCCUGUAAUCCCAGCACUUUGGGAGGCCAAGGUGGGUGGAUCAUGAGGUCAGGAGUUCGAGACCAGCCUGGCCAACAUGGUGAAACUCCAUCUCUACUAAAGAUACAAAAAAUUAGCUGGGUGUGGUGGUGUGUGCCUGUAAUCCCAGCUACUCAGGAGGCUGAAGCAGGAGAAUCACGUGAACCACCAGGCAGGGGAAUUGUGCACCACCACGCCUGGCUAGUUUUUGUAUUUUUAGUAGAGAUAGGGUUUUGCCAUGUUGGCCAGGCUGGUCUCGAACUCGUGACCUCAAGUGAUCCACCUGCCUU